This 236-nucleotide long non-coding RNA is filed under the name Pongo abelii (Sumatran orangutan). RNAcentral describes it as "lincRNA". Lineage: Eukaryota; Metazoa; Chordata; Mammalia; Primates; Hominidae. The record is from RNAcentral.
AGAAGAGCCUGGAAUUGGCCUAUCUGUCUUUUUCCCCGUUGGACCACAGAGCAGAAAGGAAUCUAAGACCUCUAGUACAGUGUUCAAUGGAACUGGUGAGAGAAGACGUCCUUGCUGUGUUCCUUAUAUGAAGAGGAAAGCAGUCCUUCUCCAUUAAAUGCUGACAACAUGAGCCUCCUGUGGUCGGAACAGGCUUGUGAAGGCAGUGCUGGGAUGCACCAGGGCAGGAGCUACAG